RNAcentral lists this long non-coding RNA (547 nucleotides) under Setaria italica (foxtail millet). RNAcentral describes it as "long non-coding RNA (SITA_LNC007126)". Lineage: Eukaryota; Viridiplantae; Streptophyta; Magnoliopsida; Poales; Poaceae. The record is from RNAcentral.
CAUUCUUCAAAUCAUGAUCGGCGGCUUGGAUUCAUCAGAGCGGGAGGACGUAGAAGCCGAUGGCGUCGAGGUAGUCCCCCGCGCGGGCGAACAUGGCGACGACGCUGGCGUUGUCGAGCGGGACGUUGAAUGGCGUCCCGGCGCCGCGGCCGAAGGGCCCGUAGGUGGCGCGGUUGGUGACGAACUUGAGCGAGGAGAUGGUGUGGGGCGCGUCCCCGAUGGGGCCGAUCGUCCCGGCGACCUCCGUCACGUACUCCGACGCGUCCAGGGUGAUGUUCUCGUCGCCCUCGCCCUGGCCUUUCGCGGCGCCGCCCCAGGGCCCGGCGGUGUGCAGGUUGCCGUCGCCGUCCCGGUAGGUGAAGGAGAUCCAGUCGAUGACCUUGCCCCACCGGAGGGAGAUGCUCUCCAGCCGCCGCGGCGCCGCCGUGAUGUCCACCGGGCUCCCGCGGUCGCCGCCCCACGUCCCGACCUUCACCGCCGACGAGCUCUGCAUGAUGCAAACCAACACACGGAUCAGCUGUUGUAACAAUGCGGAGUGAGUAGUGUG